Molecule: long non-coding RNA, 1179 nt
Filed under: Manacus vitellinus (golden-collared manakin)
Lineage: Eukaryota; Metazoa; Chordata; Aves; Passeriformes; Pipridae
Description: lncRNA (ENSMVIG00005004134.1)
Source: RNAcentral
CCCGAAUAAUCCUUUCGGUGCGCGCUGGAGUCCUCGGGGUGCCCCAACCCGGGGGGCACCAACAGCACUGUCCCUCCAGGGGGCCAAUUUGGUCCUAAACUGCAGGGGGAUCUUGCCUGUGUCCCAGACUGGUCCGGAGAUCUGAGGCCCUUCCCGAGAAAACCUCGGUGCCGGCGUGAAGGGCCAGAGAUCCCUUGGAGCCACGGGAGAGCAGGCACAGAGUCCCUCCUGGGGGGCAAUUCUGCUGCCUGAAAUCAGCUCUUCAAAGGAGCCUCUAAGACUCAGCUGGUGAGUUUUAGAAGCCAGGCAUUCCUACACACUAAGGUAUUUUAAGAGCUUACUGACUAAAAACACAUAAGGGUUUUAUCAUUGACAUCUGAACUUUCACAGACAACUCCUUUCCCCUUUCAGUACAAAAUUAUUUUCAUAGUAUCAUUUAAUAAGAAGUGCCCAGGAACCCCAGACCGUGCUUUCCAAAACAGAAAAAAAACAGAGGGAAGGACAAGUGUAACACACUCCAGAACAGACCCGACUGUAGUUUUACUCAUUGUGUUCAAAUACAGCAUAAUAAAACUCCAGCAGGAGUGCUGGCACAUUCCCAAUGGUAUCUGGCAAGUCCAUCCUACAGCUGCAGUAGGCAAGUUGGAGUCAUACAAGUCCCUUGUUCCUGCAGAUGCCUGGGGAUCCUCUCCAUCCGCCUCGUGCUCUCCCAACAGCAGAAAGGGUGACCUCAGGGACACGGUGGCACUCGACAUCCUGCUGAGAGAGCAAGGAAACCUUUUUUUGCUAGAGAGCACAGCAACCCCCCUGUCCUUGCAAACUGCCUCCUUGCAAAAGAGGAACCAGGUCUCCUGGACAUUUCUCCAACACUCAAGGUCUUUUGAAGCUGCUCUCGUGGCACCAAACCUGCUCGGGGUCUCUCCCAGCUGUUGGCUCUCCUUGGAGUUAACAGGCACACACUCCAUUCCAUCCUCCCCCAGCCAAACCCAAUUCUCACGGGCAGGACGGGCCCUGCCCUUCCCUGUCCAAGUUCCCAGCUCGGCCCAGCCGUGGGGACAGAGCAGCUUCCCAAGGCAGCUCCCGCCCGGCAGGAAGCACAACUCGCCACACUCCACCAGCCGCUGGGCACGGACCUGAGCUGAGCCCCAGGGAGGGCACGACUGGACAGAAAAGGAGCAA